CACACACACACACACACACACACACACUCUGUACACACACACACACACACACACACACACACACACACACACACACACACACACACACACACACACACCAAAGAAUGAACAGUUAAGUAAACAUUUACCUGAAUGGUCGCGACAGUAGAUAGGAACCGAAGCCGGCAACAAACAGCCAACAACACAUAAACAAUAGCUACGAUCAAAUCAUGUUCCAGAGAUUGUUUUGAACUUACUGUGGUGUUUCGAAGUUUCAGUCGAACUAAUAAAAAUUUCAAUUACAUUAUUUAACACGACAUAGCAACACAAAAACUAUAAACCAUCACAACAAUUACUUUCACAUGAGCAAAACCGUCAUUGUACACUAAUGGGAAACCAUACAUGAUAAGUUAACCACAUGAACUAAAAAGAACAAGUGAAUUCACAGAGAAACAUUUCACACGCAGAUAUCAAUGGAAAUGAUAAGUAUAAUAUAUGGUCGAAUGAAUAAAAAGUAACACCAUUUCACUCACAUACAAAACGACACAACACAAACCACAAAACAGGAGAAACAGCUUGUGUAACUUUUAUAAAACCAACUAACAGAACGCCAGCAUGCAAUUUCUAUUCAUAUAAUAGAAACUCAGUACCAACAAGACUUUUCUACCUUUUCUAGACUAUAAAACUAUUGACAUCAUGACGUACAGAUAAAUGACGACGCAACUACUUAAUUAUUAGUCCCAAAAAAAAAUUUCCUUAUUAGUUUAGAUAAGUCUUACCGCCAGUAACCAUUUUCUUUGAAUAUUAGUUUCCAGCCGUAACUAAAGUAUUUUCAAUUUAAUCAACCAUAGAACAUAUACUACGUUUUGACUAUUGAUAUAUUAACAAUGGAAACAGCGUUAGCGAUGAAUAUGUAACAGUUAUGAAACAUAAUACAUAAUAUCAUUAAAGUUGUUAUCAAUAUAAUAUCAGAAAGGCCUUCCGGCGGAAUAGACAAACAUGGUCCAGCAGGUAUUGAUAUCUACAUUAUAUUUCAUCAGUGUUUAUCUUAUUGUCUUUUGUCAAACUGUUGAUGUCAAAAAAGAGAGAGAGAGAGAGAGAGAGAGAGAGAGAGAGAGAGAGAGAGAGAGAGAGAGAGAGAGAGAGAGAGAGAGAGAGAGAGAGAGAGAGAGAGAGCGCUAUGGUAUCCACUUUUAGAAACACCUCUAUCUAAGAAUAAACACAAGAGCAGGCUACACUCCUUUCUGGACGUCUUGCUAAGUGUGUUGCAGGUGUCUUAGUAGGUGAUGGGAACAAUCACGGGUGCCGAUUGCCGACCUGAAAACCAGCCAGCCGGAUGAUACCGAACUGCUUACACACGAGGAAAAUCUCAAGCAUUUUGAGAAAAGGAACAGAGCGAUUCACCUGAAACUGUUAAAUCGGAAGAUUCCCUUCCAAUUCAAGGAUAGGCCUACACUGCCUCUGAAUAAAUAUGAGAGAAGUUUGUGUCGACAGAAGCAGGAUCGAUCUUUCAACGGUAGAUUAUAAAAAUAGAAAGUGUGAAUUUUCUGCAAACAGGCAAGUUUUCAGGACAUUGAAGUUACUAAAUUAUUACCACGUACAUCGGUCACUCAUAAAAUCACUCUCGUCCUUGAACCAUGUCCAAACGGUUUACGUGAACUCACACCGUAGAAAAUCAGCAUGCAUCUCACUCCGGUUCUGCUAACACGUGUGAGCUAUGUGGAUGUAUCUUGCAUAUCAAAUGCAGCGAUGUCACAUGAGAAAGAGUAGCGAUUCAUGGGAGGCACCGAAUUAAAGGAAACGAGCGGUGCAGAAAAGAGACUGGGAUGAGGCAAGCAAGGUGUGAGACAAGUGGCCUGGACAGACGUGAGACAGGCAUAGAUAAGAUAUUGUCGAACACCCUGUAGUGAUGUAUGGUGAAGUAAUAAUGUUACAGUAAUUAGUUUAUGAUAAGUCAGACGGGUGAAAUCGCUACUUAUGAUAUCAUUAUUGUUUUUCAGUCCAUGGGUUUUAUCAUUUUGGCUACAGACGAUUAGUAUACAUAUAAGAUGUAUGGAAUGUCAUUAUACGUUGACGAGUUUGAUUGCCAACUUAGUCUUUAAUCCCUCACACAUGUGGUAACUACCGAGGUCCUACCGUGAACUAUCUAUAAAGUCCUAUGAAGAAGAAGCUCCUAUGUAUUGCAAUUACUAGUAGACUGUAGCGGCCUUUUAGUAAUGCACGGACAUAUUUAUGUCCAUUUGAAUAACGUUCAUGGGGGCUGUUAAAGGUUUUCUUAGAUAUAUUUACUGAGAAACUUCCAGCAAUACAAAGUUAUGGAAAUAGGGGAUAAGAAGGGAGUGUGUUUAGUUUUAGUUCUUACUAGAAAUACUUUUUUUUGGUGUAUAUUGAUACCUAUUUUUGCUUUAAUAAUAUUGGAAGCCCUCUAUCAUGAGCUUUGGAGGGUUUGAUGUUAUUUCCAUAUAUUCAGCAAGUUACCUUUAUGGUUAUUGUUGCCUUUGAAUGAUUUAUAUAUCACGAACGGUAUGUUCCUAUGGUCACAGAGAAGACAGUAAAACUACUGAGCAAUAUUCUUUAGUAUGAAACCUCAUGUUUUGUUUUCAGUUACUGAUUUAAAAUGUAGAAUAUGAGCAAUGAGUAUUUAUUUCUUGACGGUUAUAUAAUAUCAAAUAAUGUGUCUAUGCAAUAAUGAAUAAAAACUUGAUUUCC
This 2688-nucleotide long non-coding RNA is filed under the name Penaeus japonicus. RNAcentral's name for it is "uncharacterized LOC122263036". The record is from RNAcentral. Lineage: Eukaryota; Metazoa; Arthropoda; Malacostraca; Decapoda; Penaeidae.